RNAcentral lists this ribosomal RNA (450 nucleotides) under uncultured bacterium. RNAcentral describes it as "partial 16S ribosomal RNA". It matches the Rfam family "Bacterial small subunit ribosomal RNA", at positions 354 to 796 of the family's 1533-position model. The record is from RNAcentral.
GUGGGGAAUCUUCCGCAAUGGACGAAAGUCUGACGGAGCAACGCCGCGUGAGUGAUGAAGGUCUUCGGAUUGUAAAGCUCUGUUAAUCGGGACGAAAGAGCCUAGUGUGAAUAAUGCUAGGAAGUGACGGUACCGGAAUAGAAAGCCACGGCUAACUACGUGCCAGCAGCCGCGGUAAUACGUAGGUGGCAAGCGUUGUCCGGAAUUAUUGGGCGUCAAGCGCGCGCAGGCGGAUCUGCCAGUCUGUCUUAAAAGUUCGGGGCUUAAACCCGGGAUGGGAUGGAAACUACAGAUCUAGAGUAUCGGAGAGGAAAGUGGAAUUCCUAGUGUAGCGGUGAAAUGCGUAGAUAUUAGGAAGAACACCAGUGGCGAAGGCGACUUUCUGGACGAAAACUGACGCUGAGGCGCGAAAGCCAGGGGAGCGAACGGGAUUAGAAACCCUGGUAGUCC